Molecule: ribosomal RNA, 997 nt
Filed under: human gut metagenome
Description: bacterial LSU rRNA
Rfam family: Bacterial large subunit ribosomal RNA
Source: RNAcentral
CGGCGGCCGUAACUAUAACGGUCCUAAGGUAGCGAAAUUCCUUGUCGGGUAAGUUCCGACCUGCACGAAUGGCGUAACGAUCUCCACACUGUCUCGGCCAGAGACUCGGUGAAAUUGCAGUCGCGGUGAAAAUUCCGUGUACCCGCAGAAAGACGGAAAGACCCUGUGCACCUUUACUAUAGCUUGACAUUGGAUUUUGGGCCUGCAUGUGUAGGAUAGGUGGGAGGCUGUGAACCCUGUACGCCAGUAUGGGGGGAGCCAUCCUUGAAAUACCACCCUUGCAUGUUUAAGAUCCUAACUUCUUCCGGUUAUCCCGGAGAAAGACAGUGUCUGGCGGGUAGUUUGACUGGGGCGGUCGCCUCCUAAAGUGUAACGGAGGCAUGCAAAGGUUCCCUCAGCCUGAUCGGAAACCAGGCGCUGAGUGCAAACGCAUAAGGGAGCUUGACUGUAAGAGAGACAUCUCGAACAGGAACGAAAGUUGGCGUUAGUGAUCCGGUGGUCCCGUAUGGAAGGGCCAUCGCUCAUUGGAUAAAAGGUACGCCGGGGAUAACAGGCUGAUCGCAUCCAAGAGUUCACAUCGACGAUGCGGUUUGGCACCUCGAUGUCGGCUCAUCACAUCCUGGGGCUGAAGCAGGUCCCAAGGGUACGGCUGUUCGCCGUUUAAAGUGGUACGCGAGCUGGGUUUAAAACGUCGUGAGACAGUUUGGUCCCUAUCUUCUGUGGGCGAAGGAGAAUUGAGAGGGCCUGUCCCUAGUACGAGAGGACCGGGAUGGACGCACCCCUGGUGAUCCUGUUGUCGCGCCAGCGGCAUAGCAGGGUAGCUAUGUGCGGAAGGGAUAACCGCUGAAAGCAUCUAAGCGGGAAGCCUGCCUCAAGAUAAGUUCUCCCCUCGAAAGAGCUGAAGGGCCCGGGUAGACUACCCGGUCGAUAGGCUGGAGGUGUAAGCGCGGCGACGUGCUCAGCUGACCAGUACUAAUAGCCCGUGCGUCUUGUUUUU